AAGACUAUAGACCUGCGGAGUACCUGCGGAAGGAUCAUUAUAGAGUGGUAAACCCCCCGUAAAAGGGGGGGACCUCCUGUCCUUUGUAGGCUCUUUUUUAAAAGGGCUUUUUUUAAUUUUCUGCUUCGGUGGGGUUAUCCCACCGGAACAACCUCAAAACUCUUAUCAAAAAAUCGUUCUGUCUGAGAACCUUUUAUAAUAAAAAAAAACUUUCAGCAAUGGAUCUCUAGAUCGGAAGAG
RNAcentral lists this unclassified non-coding RNA (240 nucleotides) under soil metagenome. Its description in RNAcentral is "partial contains 5.8S ribosomal RNA, internal transcribed spacer 2, and large subunit ribosomal RNA". The record is from RNAcentral.